AACGAACGCUGGCGUCAGGCCUAACACAUGCAAGUCGAGCUAUGCCUGCGAGUCUUGUGGCGCACGGGUGCGUAACGCGGUGCAGUCUUCCCUUGGGUUCGGGUGAACCGUGAGGAAUUACUCCUAAUACGGGAUGAGGUCUUCGGGCCAAAGAUUGAUCGCGCCAGGAUGAGCCUGCGUAGGCUCAGAUAGUUAGUUGCGUAAUGGGCUGCCAAGGCGUCGGUCACUAGCUGGUCUGAGAGGAGGAGCGUCGACGCUGGUAAUGGGACACGGCCCAGAAUCCUACGGGAGGCAGCAGAGGGGAAUCUUGGCCAGUCGGCGCAAGCCUGAUCCAGCCCUGCGGCGUGAGUGAUGAAGGCUGUAGGGUUGUAAAGCUCUUUUACCCGGUAUGAUAAUGACAGUACCGGGAGAAUAAGCACCGGCUAACUCCGUG
RNAcentral lists this ribosomal RNA (433 nucleotides) under uncultured bacterium. Its description in RNAcentral is "partial 16S ribosomal RNA". It matches the Rfam family "Bacterial small subunit ribosomal RNA", at positions 29 to 507 of the family's 1533-position model. The record is from RNAcentral.